Molecule: ribosomal RNA, 460 nt
Filed under: uncultured bacterium
Lineage: Bacteria
Description: partial 16S ribosomal RNA
Rfam family: Bacterial small subunit ribosomal RNA
Source: RNAcentral
GACGAACGCUGGCGGCGUGCUUAACACAUGCAAGUCGAGCGGAAAGGCCCUUCGGGGUACUCGAGCGGCGAACGGGUGAGUAACACGUGAGUAACCUGCCCCAGACUUUGGGAUAACCCUCGGAAACGGGGGCUAAUACCGGAUACGACACAGCUUCGCAUGGGGUCUGUGUGGAAAGUUUUUCGGUUUGGGAUGGGCUCGCGGCCUAUCAGCUUGUUGGUGGGGUGAUGGCCUACCAAGGCGACGACGGGUAGCCGGCCUGGGAGGGCGACCGGCCCCCGGGGGACUGAGACACGGCCCACCCACCGACGGGAGGAAGCGGUGGGGAAUAUUGAAAAAGGGGGGGGGGCCUGAGGCGGCGACCCCGGGGGGGGGAGGAAGGCCUUGGGGUUGUAACCUUUUUUCAGCGGGGAGGAAGGGGAAGGGAGGGAACCUGAAGAAGAAGCGCCGGCCAACUACG